CCUACGGGGGGCAGCAGUAGGGAAUUUUCCGCAAUGGGCGAAAGCCUGACGGAGCAAUACCGCGUGAGGGAUGACUGCCUAUGGGUUGUAAACCUCUUUUUUCAGGGAGGAAUAAAUGACGUGUACCUGAAGAAUAAGCAUCGGCUAACUCCGUGCCAGCAGCCGCGGUAAGACGGAGGAUGCAAGUGUUAUCCGGAAUCACUGGGCGUAAAGCGUCUGUAGGUGGCUCGACAAGUCAACUGUUAAAUCUUGAAGCUCAACUUCAAAAUCGCAGUCGAAACUAUCGGACUAGAGUAUAGUAGAGGUAAAGGGAAUUUCCAGUGGAGCGGUGAAAUGCGUAGAGAUUGGAAAGAACACCGAUGGCGAAGGCACUUUACUGGGCUAUUACUGACACUCAGAGACGAAAGCUAGGGUAGCAAAUGGGAUUAGAUACCCUGGUAGUC
This 443-nucleotide ribosomal RNA is filed under the name uncultured bacterium. RNAcentral describes it as "bacterial SSU rRNA". It matches the Rfam family "Bacterial small subunit ribosomal RNA", at positions 338 to 795 of the family's 1533-position model. The record is from RNAcentral.